RNAcentral lists this long non-coding RNA (264 nucleotides) under Brassica napus (rape). RNAcentral's name for it is "long non-coding RNA (BNAP_LNC011404)". The record is from RNAcentral. Lineage: Eukaryota; Viridiplantae; Streptophyta; Magnoliopsida; Brassicales; Brassicaceae.
GUCCCCCCAAGUUCGUAGAGAGAGAUGAAGUCGAUCUCUGUGAAUUUUACGAAUAGGGUUUAUUAGACAAUGAACUAGACACAUUCAUGCCUAUGAUGGUUUAUGCGAAUUUACUUCGAACUUGUGCCUAGUAAAAGGCGAGUUUGCUUUAAACUCGUGCUUAGUGAAAGACGAGUUUACUUGACUCAUGCUGAGACAGAGGCAAAUUUACUGAGAACUCGUGCCUAGUAGAAGGAGAGUUUCUGUAAACUCAUGCCUAGUCAA